UGUUAAGUACUCUAAGGAUUGUAUUUAAAAUUAAAAUAUUUGGCGGCUGUUUAUAUUAAAGGGAUUUGCUUAUUAUCGAUAUACCUCGUUUAAUAUUAUUUAGCUUGUUUUUGUAUACCGUCAUCUAGAUAAUUUUUAUAAAAUUAAUUGUGGUAUUAAUAUUCUGUAAAUUAGAUCAAGGUGCAGAUAUAGUUAAUAUUAAGUUAAUGACAAUAAUUUAUUAUUAUACAGUAUUUGUUUAAUUAUUUAGAAUAGUAGGAUUUAAUUGUAAUAGAAAUUAGUUGAAAUUAA
Molecule: ribosomal RNA, 291 nt
Filed under: Niphargus salonitanus
Lineage: Eukaryota; Metazoa; Arthropoda; Malacostraca; Amphipoda; Niphargidae
Description: partial 12S ribosomal RNA
Source: RNAcentral